CCUUCGGAAAACACUUGAGUAAAUUUACAGCUUUCUCACGUGAGCGUUAUGGCAACUGAUGAAGCAGCGGAUCAAUCGGACUUGUCUUGCAUAGAGGAGAGUCUCAUGAGUCUAGAGAAAUUGGAUAGAGCAUCUCCUGAUUUAUGGCCUGAGCAGAUUCCAGGUGUACAUGAGUUUGUUGCUCAAAAUUCACCGCAGACAGAACCAUGUUUUUGGGCUGCGAUGUCGCAGGAUGACAUAAGCCAUGUGCAUCAACUGGGUAAUUUGUCAAUGACCGGGCUUAUCUCGGAAGUGAAAAGACUGCACGAUUUAGCUUAUCAACUGGGUCUAGAAGAGGCUAAGGAAAUGACACGCGGCAAAUAUUUGAAUAUAUUUAAACAUAAAUAAUUAAUUUUAGAUUUGCAAAAAAUAAAAUUCAUAAAAAUGCAGUACUAUAAUCGGCAUUCUUAAGAAACGUUUCGAGACGUUUUUUUAUAUUUUUCUAACUUUAAGAAUUUUCUAAAAUCCACUUUGUGUAUCUCUGUACAUUUACAAAUGCAGAUGGAAAAAUGGUGCUUGAGUCACAACUAGACCCAAAUGAUAGGAUUCCAACCUGAUUAAAAAAUAAAAAAUGAAAAACAUAAAUAUGUGAACUACGUCUGUAGUAUAUGUAAAUAUUUAUGUUGAUAACAUACCAAGAAAUAUAUGUCCGCAUAUUUGUAUAACAGAGGACUACCGCUGUAACUUGAGCAAGGUUCACAGUUUCCUUUGGCGCAUAAUUCAACAGAUAGAGCUUGGCUUAUAUAGUCCGAGCACUGCUGCUUAGCCGACAACAGUGCAUGUACUUCCUAGGCUGACGUAUCUGUCUUCCGGUAUAAAGCAGAUUGGUUGAGCUGUGGCUGAAGAAGACCGGAUUGCUAUUUCCUCCCAUAUUGAGGCUGUGAUCAUCACAGUAUCUUCGACUGUAUAUUUAAGAACUGUACAUACCUGUAAAUUCGAUAGCCUUCUUCAAGCGAAGUAAGGCAACGUUGUUGGAAUAACUUGCGGCGUUGUAGCCCGGAUGUUUUACUACAUACGAUAUGUCGUGGCUACUGAUUUUGUGUCCGCAAAACAAAUUAUUACAAUCUGGAUUCGACUCUGUAUUAUAUUCACCAAUAAGCACAGAGCAUCUAAAGAUAAAUAAGGAUUAUUAUAAUUACUGCAUGCUACAAUUUAAUGCUACGAUCGAAAAUAUGAGUAACGAUCAUUCGUUAUAUUUUAUUUUCGACUGCUAUAUACGUACAAUUUGUAUCUGUCCGAUUUCGCGAGUGCGCAUGUAGCUGUAGUCAAUACAGUACGCUCAUUAACAAUCACGCCAUUGCACGAGUAUUUGAUCUCACCCGUUAAUGUAUCUAAAAGCGAAUUCUUGCUAACAGUCUGAAAACGCAUGUCUUAUAUAAUAAAAGAAAUAUAGUUAAC
Molecule: unclassified non-coding RNA, 1437 nt
Filed under: Acromyrmex echinatior (Panamanian leafcutter ant)
Lineage: Eukaryota; Metazoa; Arthropoda; Insecta; Hymenoptera; Formicidae
Description: protein lin-52 homolog, transcript variant X3
Source: RNAcentral